RNAcentral lists this ribosomal RNA (253 nucleotides) under uncultured bacterium. Its description in RNAcentral is "partial 16S ribosomal RNA". It matches the Rfam family "Bacterial small subunit ribosomal RNA", at positions 524 to 776 of the family's 1533-position model. The record is from RNAcentral.
UACGUAGGGGGCUAGCGUUGUCCGGAUUUAUUGGGCGUAAAGAGCGUGUAGGCGGCCAGGUAGGUCUGGUGUGAAAACUCGAGGCUUAACCUCGAGAUGUCAUCGGAAACCAUCUGGCUAGAGUCCGGAAGAGGAGAGUGGAAUUCCUGGUGUAGCGGUGAAAUGCGCAGAUAUCAGGAAGAACACCCGUGGCGAAGGCGGCUCUCUGGGACGGUACUGACGCUGAGGAGCGAAAGCGUGGGGAGCGAACAGG